GACGAACGCUGGCGGCGUGCUUAACACAUGCAAGUCGAACGGUAAGACCCCUUCGGGGGUACACGAGUGGCGAACGGGUGCGUAACACGUGGGUGAUCUGCCCUGCACUUCGGGAUAAGCCUGGGAAACUGGGUCUAAUACCGGAUAGGACCACGCUCUGCAUGGAGUGUGGUGGAAAGCUUUUGCGGUGUGGGAUGGGCCCGCGGCCUAUCAGCUUGUUGGUGGGGUGAUGGCCUACCAAGGCGACGACGGGUAGCCGGCCUGAGAGGGUGUCCGGCCACACUGGGACUGAGAUACGGCCCAGACUCCUACGGGAGGCAGCAGUGGGGAAUAUUGCACAAUGGGCGCAAGCCUGAUGCAGCGACGCCGCGUGGGGGAUGACGGCCUUCGGGUUGUAAACCUCUUUCAGUACCGACGAAGCGCAAGUGACGGUAGGUACAGAAGAAGCACCGGCCAACUACGUG
This 464-nucleotide ribosomal RNA is filed under the name uncultured bacterium. RNAcentral describes it as "partial 16S ribosomal RNA". It matches the Rfam family "Bacterial small subunit ribosomal RNA", at positions 28 to 507 of the family's 1533-position model. The record is from RNAcentral.